Molecule: transfer RNA, 65 nt
Filed under: Charybdis feriata
Lineage: Eukaryota; Metazoa; Arthropoda; Malacostraca; Decapoda; Portunidae
Description: tRNA-Arg
Source: RNAcentral
UAUUAGAAAGCGAAAUCUAUCGCAUUUAGUUUCGACCUAAACUUUGGCCUCUAAGCCUCUAAUAA